Small nuclear RNA from Peromyscus eremicus (cactus mouse), 102 nucleotides. The record is from RefSeq and is a predicted model, not a curated record. NCBI's taxonomy places the organism in Eukaryota, Metazoa, Chordata, Mammalia, Rodentia, Cricetidae.
GAUUGUUUCAGCAGUAGGAUGUUAAAAUCGGAAAGACAGAGAAGAUCAGCACGGCCUCUUUGCCAGGACGGCACGUGAAUUCAUCAAGAGUUAGCUAUUUUU